CUGAAGAAAUGGUAGAGUUGAGCUGGCUCCAUAGGAGUACGUGCUCGCUCCAUCGAUUUUUCUACUCUCCACUGUGCACCUCUUGUAGGCUAUGAUGUUUCAGCUCGAAAGGGUUGGAUUCAGAGGGCUAGCAGUUCCACCUGCUUGGCCUCGACUUCGUAGCCUAUGUCUUACAUACACUCUGUCAAAGUAUAUGAAUGUGUAUCGUUGGUCUUUGACCGAUAAACUACGUA
Molecule: unclassified non-coding RNA, 233 nt
Filed under: uncultured Agaricales
Lineage: Eukaryota; Fungi; Basidiomycota; Agaricomycetes; Agaricales
Description: sequence contains ITS1
Source: RNAcentral